Molecule: ribosomal RNA, 253 nt
Filed under: uncultured bacterium
Lineage: Bacteria
Description: partial 16S ribosomal RNA
Rfam family: Bacterial small subunit ribosomal RNA
Source: RNAcentral
UACGAAGGGGGCUAGCGUUGCUCGGAAUGACUGGGCGUAAAGCGCACGUAGGCGGCUUUUUAAGUCAGAGGUGAAAUCCUGGAGCUCAACUCCAGAACUGCCUUUGAUACUGGAGAGCUUGAGUCCGGGAGAGGUGAGUGGAACUGCGAGUGUAGAGGUGAAAUUCGUAGAUAUUCGCAAGAACACCAGUGGCGAAGGCGGCUCACUGGCCCGGUACUGACGCUGAGGUGCGAAAGCGUGGGGAGCAAACAGG